GAGAGUUAAACAGUACGUGAAAUUGUUGAAAGGGAAACGAUUGAAGCCAGUCGUACCUUCGGGUAAUCAGCCUUUUGGGUGUGAUUUUGUGGAGCGUGAAGAGUUAAACGCCUUCAUGCCUGCAUAUUCGUGCACUUUGGGUGUACUUGCCCGUAUGGUUGGUUAACAUCAAUUUUGGUGGUCAUAAAAUGACUGGAGGAAUGUAGCUUCGAUCUUGUAUUGAAGUGUUAUAGCCUUCGGUAGAUGUGAUGAUCGAGAUUGAGGAUUGCAACGGAUACCCUUCGGGGCUACCUGUCUGAUCUCUGAUCGUUGCUCUGGUGCCGAAAGCUUGCUUACGGUUAUCAAAGUCGAUGGUCAAUAGGUUAGAACGGGUUAAAUUCGUUAAGGAUGUUGACGUAAUGGCUUUAAACGA
Molecule: ribosomal RNA, 412 nt
Filed under: uncultured Rhizophagus
Lineage: Eukaryota; Fungi; Glomeromycota; Glomeromycetes; Glomerales; Glomeraceae
Description: partial 28S ribosomal RNA
Source: RNAcentral